UGACGGUAUAUCCCAACCUUCUAAGUACAAGAGCUCAAAUUUCUCCACUCACUUCAGAAUCAAGAAAUGUAUAAUAAUUCUAUAAGCAGUAUUGCAUAGGAGCCGAUUUAGAGUAAGCAUAAACUGUAAAAGACACAAACACUUUUGACCUAGUUCACGGCCUCUAACCGUUACUUCUGGAGAGGGAAUUCUUGUUCCUCAAGCUUCACUAUAAACUGAGAAAAGUACAAGCUUUGAGAAUGUCUCUCUUAGAGCAGCCCCAUCGGUAAGAUAUCCAUUUGCAGGUUCUAGAUCAUAAAUUUAUCACUUUUUCGUUGCAUAUGUAAGAAAUAAAUAACUUUUAAUUCAAAAUAGAAAUUAAGGCCACUAGAAAAGAAACACGUGAUGAAUUAAGGUUUAUAACCGGUGUUAAAAAGGACUUGUUUAGGAUCUGUCUUUCUCUCUUUCCUCUUUUUUUUUUAUUUUUUAAUAUUAAUUUUUUGUUUGGAUACUGGAUCAGAACCCUGCAAUGGACAUGGUCUUACACUUUUUUGAUACAAGAGAUUACUGUUAGGGUAUUAAUGCUUAGGGUAAGGUUCUAUUUAUACUAAGCAUCUCUGUCAUAAUCUUGUGUACUUCACGUUUAAUGACAAAACGUGAUGGGUUUCAUAUGUGUAUAAACAUAAUCUCCAUUUUCCUUACAGGCCCAUUGACCAAGGCCCAGCUUGCAUGUACGUGAUUUGAGUCAACAUUCACACUAUGUAUAUGAAUCAUAAGAUUCCUGCAGAUAGUCAUGAUGCAAUCAUGCAAAACGAUGGGUCUCUGAUAUUCAUAACUACAAUGAUAAACUCUCCAAGGUGGUUAAGCUGUUAGGGGUAUUCUCGAAGGAUUGAACAGCAGCAAGCAGUUAUAGAGACUGCAAUGCUCAACGACAAGGGUGUUAAGGGACCAUUAUAUAUUUUUACUGAUUGUGUUAAUUGCUUCACUAUUGAUGUAUAUUCACAGAUGGAUUGACAUAGCGUAUAAAAUUUGACCCUGCAUCAAACUGAGAUCGUGUAAUGAAGGUCAGGACAAAAGAUCUUCAGAUACAAAAGGUUUGUUCUUUUGUGGGUUUUUCAACUGUGGUUUGGGUUAAUGCUAACUAAGGUUUAAUGUUCUGCAGAUGGAAAAAGAAACCUCAAAUUUGGGGAAAGCCGAAAAGAGGUGGAUCUUGCUAAAUUCCUGCUUGAAGAUAUCAUGAGAAUGGGUUAACAUGAUGAGGCAUCAAAGGCAUUUCUGGCUCCUCCCACAAUAUCACUUCAUGAAAAAAAUAGUUCAAUUUUUCAUAAAGCUUUCCCAAUUAUCACGGUUCUAUGACAUCUCUGUUAAAUGGGUUCUUUUGUUUUUACUUUAUUGAACUACGUAUCUCGGCAAACAUAGAGACAAAUGGGAUGAUCGUUCAAUAUCAAAGACAUCAGUCGUGGUCAUUUAGACAGAAGAAGUUUCAUAUCUGAUAGAAUGUCCACACCGAAGUUUCAUAUCUGAUAGCAGGAGCUUGUGUUUGGUCUCACUCUGACAAUGAUGAUCCUGUUGAAGAGCUGACUAGGCGCUCAGCUCAGAAGAAUAUUGCAGAGAGAUUCAAUGCAUGAUGUUAAGGAAUCAGCAAAAAAAAAAGAAAGAAGUUUAAAUAGAAUACUCAGACUGUCUUUACCCGCUCCGCCAAAAAGAACCAGUUAGUAGUUAGUACUAAGUAGUGUAUAGUAACAGUAAACAUGCAUGGUGGAUCAUUCAAAAGAAAAUGCAUGAUCACUUUUAAGUUAUAAUUUACUUGAAGUUGAAUUACAAAAGAAAUUGAACUAAUGGGAAUCAUCUACCCUUUCAUCCUCCCAUGUUGGUCUCAAAUUUUGUUAGGUCUAUUAUGCAAGCACCAAAAAAAAAAUACAAUUCAAACAUUUAAUAGUUCACCAAUAGAAUGUUCCAGUUAUAUUAAUUAGACUGAAAAAAAAAACUAUAAUUACCAUAACAGACGAUGAAAUCAUCAGUUUCGUGUAAUUAAGGGGUUGCAAUUUGAGCAAACACAAUACACGUUGAAAGGAAAUUCAUCCAGAACUAUAUGAUUCGAGGAAAAACAUAACACAAAACAUAAACUGGUUUGAAUCUAAAGAUUCUUGUAGAUAGAUAGAUGGAACGAAAAAUUUGACAAGUCCUAGAAAAAACUCAAAAACAAAACAACAUAGAAGGAAAGAGAGACUUAUAUAUUUAGAUUAGUGUGACAAUCACAAGUCACGUACUUGGUGAUUUCCUUUUGCGUGUAUAAUCUUGUUGGGUUUGAGUUAAACUUGGAGCAUAAUUCAGAAGAACUGAGCUAGACUCAAAAUUAUCAUGCGUGAUGCUUUCCCUUUUGCCUCUUCCAAGCCGAUUCACUUGUAUGUCUUUAUUUUCUUGCACAGUGGAUAAGACGUUGUCGGAGUUCAAACACCUUACAACCUUGCUCUGCUUGUCUGCCAGGAAACUCAUCCCUUUAGAAAACUGACUACUACUUAUCUCAUAUUGAAAGGUCAAAUCUAGGACUAGGAGCUGACUCCAUGAUCCGGUACUAGUUGUCACACACACUUGUAACUCCUUAUUCGUUAAAGAUAAGAGACAAAGUUGCUCUUCUCUAACCACAGAUAAAGCCAAUAUACUAUACGGAAACGGACGAGGAAGAGAUAGACUUUGAAACAUCUCUGCUGAAAAAUCAAAACUAAGUAAGAAAUUGUUAUGUGGACUCCAUGCUUGAGUAGCAAUCCAAAAAGUAUUUCCCUUCACUGAUAUGCCACGACGAUAUAGUGCUAAAAACCAAUCAGUAGCAACCCCAAGAAUUCUCCAAGUGUUAGAGGUGAAGUCGUAAAUCUCGUACUCAUUAUUAGGUGGUACAUCUUUAUGAAGAUCCACCCUCAAGAUUUUAUAUUGGUUGCUGCAUGAUUUGCUGUCGUAAGUGUAACCGAGAGCAUAGUAGUCUGAUUCUCUGUAGAUGACUCUAGGUUUAAUCCACGUGGUUUCCCCUGAACAUGGAUUCCAAACCACGAGUCUCUUGUCCUUUGUGGUGCAUAGCAACAAGCUGUUGCAGUGAAAGACAUUAAGUACACCAACUUGUGAAGAAUUAGAAAGGGGGUCUUUAAGGUAGAAUGGAUUAUUUGCAACCUUAACAUAUGGAGCACCGAGACUGAUCCUUACUUGGAAAACAUUAGAAUCAAUCAACAUGAUGUUCAGAGACUCAUCCUCCCUCUUUGGUGCUUUGGCAGUGUGCAUCUUAGCAAAGCUAGUGGAUUUCAAUAUAGCGCUCCAUUGUUUUGAUGUUGAUCGAAAUCUUGCUAGAGUCAUAGCUGGAAUCCUAGAGAGUAUAUUCUCUACCAAAUCCGUUGGAAGGUUUCUCCACUCCAUAGCUACUGUGUGAUUCAAUCAAAAUCUUUAAUACGCGAGCCAGGGAUGGGGGGUGAGAGAAAGAGUAUUUAUUAACCUACAACCGAGAAGGACCUAAAUUCCCAAUAUGAAUAGGUUUCCUAUGUGUUACGGGAAAAAAAAGAAAGAAUAGGUUUCCUAUCUUUAAAGAUAAUUUAACUCAAAAAGAAAAUUUAACAUAUUUGCAAACAUAUCUAAAACUUGGGGGUGCCGUUAAAAGAAAUUUUUUAAAUUUAUUAUACGAUGUUGCAAAUAAAAUAAAUCUGUAAUAUGAAAGAGAGAGAGACACCUAAAUUCUCAAUUAUGUAUAAGUUUCUAUAGAUAAUUUGACAUAAAAAGAAAAUUUAACAUAUUUGCAAAAGUAUUUAAUAAUACGAUACUGCAAAAGUUCCUAAACCUUUUUUGAGCUUUUAGCAACGGGUGAAAAAAUGUCAAAUAUAUAUAUUUCAAAAUAGAACUUUGUCAAAACGUUACUUUCACCGUAGCUGUCCAAGUGUGAAAAGUUUGAUGACGGUAUAUCCCAACCUUCUAAGUACAAGAGCUCAAAUUUCUCCGCUCACUUCAGAAUCAAGAAAUAUAUAAUAAUUCUAUAAGCAGUAUUGCAUAGGAGCCGAUUUAGAGUAAGCAUAAACUGUAAAAGACACAAACACUUUUAACCUAGUUCACGGCCUCUAACCGUUACUUCUGGGGAGGGAACUCUUGUUCCUCAAGCUUCACUAUAAACUGAGAAAAGUACAAGCUUUGAGAAUGUCUCUCUUAGGGCAGCCCCAUCGGUAAGAUAUCCAUUGCAGGUUCUAGAUCAUAAAUUUAUCACUUUUUCGUUGCAUAUGUAAGAAAUAAAUAACUUUUAAUUCAAAAUAGAAAUUAAGGCCACUAGAAAAGAAACACGUGAUGAAUUAAGGUUUAUAACCGGUGUUAAAAAGGACUUGUUUAGGAUCUGUCUUUCUCUCUUUCCUCUUUUUUUUUUUAUUUUUUAAUAUUAAUUUUUUGUUUGGAUACUGGAUCAGAACCCUGCAAUGGACAUGGUCUUACACUUUUUUGAUACAAGAGAUUACUGUUAGGGUAUUAAUGCUUAGGGUAAGGUUCUAUUUAUACUAAACAUCUCUGUCAUAAUCCUUGUGCACUUCACGUUUAAUGACAAAACGUGAUGGGUUUCAUAUGUGUAUAAACCUAAUCUCCAUUUUCCUUGCAGGCCCAUUGACCAAGGCCCAGCUUGCUUGUACGUGAUUUGAGUCAACAUUCACACUAUGUAUAUGAAUCAUAAGAUUCCUGCAGAUAGUCAUGAUGCAAUCAUGCAAAACGAUGGGUCUCUGAUAUUCAUAUCUACAAUGAUAAACUCUCCAAGGUGGUUAAGCUGUUAGGGGUAUUCUCGAAGGAUUGAACAGUAGCAAGCAGUUAUAGAGACUGCAAUGCUCAACGACAAGGGUGUUAAGGGACCAUUAUAUAUUUUUACUGAUUGUGUUAAUAGCUUCA
RNAcentral lists this long non-coding RNA (4872 nucleotides) under Brassica rapa (field mustard). Its description in RNAcentral is "long non-coding RNA (BRAP_LNC003806)". Lineage: Eukaryota; Viridiplantae; Streptophyta; Magnoliopsida; Brassicales; Brassicaceae. The record is from RNAcentral.